RNAcentral lists this ribosomal RNA (497 nucleotides) under uncultured bacterium. Its description in RNAcentral is "partial 16S ribosomal RNA". It matches the Rfam family "Bacterial small subunit ribosomal RNA", at positions 28 to 507 of the family's 1533-position model. The record is from RNAcentral.
GAUGAACGCUGGCGGCGUGCCUAAUACAUGCAAGUCGAGCGAACAGACGAGGAGCUUGCUCCUCUGACGUUAGCGGCGGACGGGUGAGUAACACGUGGAUAACCUACCUAUAAGACUGGGAUAACUUCGGGAAACCGGAGCUAAUACCGGAUAAUAUAUUGAACCGCAUGGUUCAAUAGUGAAAGACGGCUUUGCUGUCACUUAUAGAUGGAUCCGCGCCGCAUUAGCUAGUUGGUAAGGUAACGGCCUACCAAGGCAACGAUGCGUAGCCGACCUGAGAGGGUGAUCGGCCACACUGGAACUGAGACACGGUCCAGACUCCUACGGGAGGCAGCAGUAGGGAAUCUUCGGCAAUGGGCGAAAGCCUGACGGAGCAACGCCGCGUGAGUGAUGAAGGUCUUCGGAUCGUAAAACUCUGUUAUUAGGGAAGAACAAAUGUGUAAGUAACUAUGCACGUCUUGACGGUACCUAAUCAGAAAGCCACGGCUAACUACGUG